Molecule: long non-coding RNA, 6104 nt
Organism: Oncorhynchus gorbuscha (pink salmon)
Lineage: Eukaryota; Metazoa; Chordata; Actinopteri; Salmoniformes; Salmonidae
Exons: 2
Source: RefSeq, a predicted model, not a curated record
GAGAGGGAGGUGGAUGAAGAUAAUGGUGGGAGAGAGAGAGAAGGGGGGAGAACUUGUAUGGGGAGAGGGAGGAGAGGAUUGUAUCUCCCUGCCCUUGAAAAGAGAAAGGCUCCCCUGCUUUCAAUCGUUCACUUGAGUAGGGAGCGUGAUGUGGUGGGGGAAAGAGGAAUGAUGGGUAUCCCUUGGCACUUAUAAGACUAAGCACCUUAAACUGAACUAAUGCACUUUAUUAUUAAGAGGGGAUUUGAAUAGGGUUUUUGUUGUCAGUGUACGUACGGUGUGUGUGUGUAUUGAAUCUACACAAGAGGCUGUACGUAUACACGUGGAAAUCUGAACUGGAAGGGUAAGGUUGGUGGGAUAGAUUCACUGGGAGGGGGAACUCAAAGAUAGAGGGGACCUUUUUAUUUUGAAACCUUAUCAGAAAAACAAAUUCCUUCUUGAAAGACAAACACUGUUGUUUUUUUUACAAUACAUUUAUAUGAAAAGUAAAGCUAUUACAAAAAAAUACAUUUAAAAAAACUUGAAGAUUUGCACUUGUGUUAAAAAAACUAAGAUAAAAAAAUAGAAAAACAAAUGGGGUUAGAGAUUAGUGUGUGUGUGUGUGUGUGUGUGUGUGUGUGUGUGUGUGUGUGUGUGUGUGUGUGUGUGUGUGUGUGUGUGUGUGUGUGUGUGUGUGUGUGUGCGUGCGCAGACUAGUAUGUUUCUAAUGUCUGUUAUGUUUUCUCCAUUGCUUACCAAGAUGUUUGAACACAUACCAGGCCAUUAUGUCAUUUUGUUCAAAUAAGAAUUGAUGUUUUUUCCAUGAGUAGACGUGUCCUCUUGUACAGAGGGACUUUCUUUGUAUCUACGUGUGUAUGAUUGUGUGUGUGACAGAGGGGGCAAUGGCACAACACAUCCUUUCUCUCACCAGCUCUUCAUCCCCAGAGAAACGUAAUAGAAAUACAGACAUUUGUAGAGGAGAAUUAUGGCUUUGCGCUCCUUCAUAUGUUGUUAAAGCACCACUUGUUUCUGGGGUGUUUUGGGGUACGGGCUGAUGGAGCAGUGCCCCUCCCCGCUGUCUUCUCUCAGACACGUGUGUGUGUGUGUGUGUGUGUGCAUAUUUGUGCCUAAGAACUCUGAAAGGGUGAAUGGGAUGGAGGGAAUGUUCGAUGGCCAUUGAGACAUUUACUUUUUGAGUGUGUUAUGUUUAUGUUAACCGCUCUGUAUAGCCCGUGUAUGUCAAUCAUAUAUCCUAAUAUUUCAGGUUUAGUCUGGGGAUGAUGAUUGAUUGGAAGGUUAGUCCAGUUUAGUUUUCCUGGGAUGUGAUCACGUUGCCUUGUCAGUUCUCUUUAACUUGCGUGUGAAAGGUGUGCGGUUUCAGAUUCUGCUCAAAACAAUUAGCAUCACACUGUCCAUGUACAGGAUGGUGCACAAAAUGUUAGCAUAUUCUUGUUACUUAUUCAUUGCUAUUGUUGAUGAUGACGUUUCUUUUUUAGGAAUAUAAAUGAAUAUACAUACAUGAAUAAUCAGUUUAAAAUAAGAAAGUAUUUGGACUGCGAUUAUGAUGAGCACUGCUAUUUUUUUUUUUUUUUUUUUCUCCCUUAAUUUAGUUUUUGUUGCAUUACCGCCAUGUGAAGUGCGUUUUUUAUUUCUUUCUUAAGAAAACAUUGAAUGUAUUCCCAAAAAAGUAAUAAAAAAAAAAACGGGAUUUUUUUUCCUCCACAAAAUGUCUAAAAAUGGAAUCAAAAAAAAAACUAAAAAUCCAAGAUUGAAGAGGUCGGCGAGUUCUUUACUCCUUUUUUUUUUUACACAAAAGAGGAAGAACUUGGGAAGGCUACAGUUGAACACACUGCCUCUGCAAUCCUGUUCGUACAAAAACAAUAUUACUAUGAACAAAUAAAGAACAGACUCUUUACUAUUCCUUACUGGAGUUUUGGUUGUUUACAAAACACGGAUUUCUGUGGGUGCAGUUUUUUUGGGGUUAGGGUGGAUAGUGGGUAAGGGCAGGGUUUUGCAAGUGCGCUUCCGCAAAAUGGACAUUCAGUGGCCUAUGUUGUUUUUGCGGGAAGGAAGAAGGACAUCACAAUGUGACCCUUUAGUGGAUGUGGCUCUUUUGUAACUGACUGAUCAUCGAGGAGUGCAGACGAAAAAUCAAAGAUUGUCUUUUUUUUUCUUUUUUACUGCUUGUAUUGUAACUCAAGGACUAAGUGUUUCUGUUCGUGGAGUAAACUUAAUGAAAAAGCAGAAACAGCAGAGGAGUUUUUGGUACUUAGGACAUAAAGGAAACAACAAUAUCAUCGCUUUAAUAGAGAAGUCUCCUGGAGGAAAAAUAUGGAGUACCUUUUUUUUUUGCUCCUUGAACAUGUAAACGAAACAAAGAUGGACAAACCCGUGAGGAGUGGUUGAGAAUAGAGGAAAUGUAAGAUUUUGUAAAACCUUACAUACAAAUGACAUUGACCUCAAAUCUACCAUUGCAUUCAAUUGGACCGUGUGCAGGCAGAAUUAUUUUUCCUUUUUUGUUUAAAAGGGGUCUCAGGGUGUGCAGUGGGGGUAUUUUAACCCUGCGAUGAGGGGAAAUGAAAGGAUACUACUAGUAUGACCUCUGGGGGACACCCAUCAUCCCUCGUCAACACUCACUGUUGACGAGGGCUGCCCCGACCACUCUCACUAUGCACUUUGGUUCAUUCAAACUGUGAGAUGCCAUCACAUUUGGGAUAGGAGCACAGAAAUAUUGUAGUACAGAGGGAGGGUUUAACAAGAAAUGUAACUUUGAAUGAGUUAAUACCGUCUCACUGAAAACAAGAUUUUCAAAACAAAAGACAGGAACACGCCUUCUCCCUCCUGUACAUAACCAUAUUUUUGUAUUGGGCCUAACUUUAAACAAGAUCACUUGGACAAAACUGCAAGGCUUGAUAUACAACCUAGCAGAAUAAGGAAAUUCACGAGACAUUGAUUUACAGAGUGAAUAACCCUGUGGUAAAUGAAUUACCUGGAAAUUCCCCAAACUUUGCCAGUAGCCCUGUAUGUCUUCAGGGAUAGGGAAAGAAAAGAUUUAACAUGGAUGGAGCUGGGGACUGCAGGGACUCUCAAGACUGAAUGAUGAUCGCUGCUGCAGAGCCCAGCCCAGAGUGUUUGACCAACUGGCACCAGCCAAUGGAGAAGGCAGGGGAGAGACAGUCAGGCGGAUGUAUCAGGGGACCUGCUGCCCAGAUGCCCCCUCCCCAAACUUCUGUCACCUAGCCACUGCCUGGAGAUUGAUCACGAGCUGACAGCAAGAAGACAACCAUCAUAUGGGGUCCUCACUGUUCCUAGCUGCCCUCUGCUGGAGAGGAGAUGGAGAAGCUCCUCAGCCCUUUCCUCUUCCGCUCCCCCUCUGCACCCCUGGUGGUGAAAGAGCAGGAACCACAUCAGCUGCAGUAGGAGAGGACAUGGAACAGUGGAGAAACUGACCACACACACACAGAGCUUUACACGCAUGUCCAUGCAGCAUUCUCAAAUACUCUCUUUUCAAGAACCACAUUCUUGAAAACCACAUUGAAACACACACAAAAGCAGAAAGGCUCAAUACCAUACACUUGAGUUUUGACUGCUAUGUAAAUAAUAUAAAAGUAUUUUCUUUUUUCUGUUCAACAUGCCUUAACUGUGGCGAUCCGCCUUUGUGUGGCAAACUCGAAACAUAUAUUAACAAUAAGAGUGAAAGCCAGUUGGAGAACCUGAUAAGAACUAUAACAUUUGAAUAAGGGGGGGUGGUGUCAAUGUUCUACUUACCUUGACGGCGUUUUAUUGGCCAACAAUACUGCUGUAUGUUACUUUAUUUCUGUCCAGCAUCUAUGGCAACAAAGUAGAACUGAAGGCAAUCCCUGAGGACGAUGAUUAAGACUGAUGGUUUGCCUUUUUUCAAAGCAAGAUUAACUGUUCUGUUAUCCAGUUUUAAAUGCCCAGACAUGUAGCUGAAGAUGCAGGCUGAGGAAUCUGAAGCAUGUGUAUUAUGGAGCUGAGCUGACCAGUAAGGGUGUGUUAAAUAGAUCCAUAUGUUCCUUUACAGUUCUACACAGUGCCCCACAAAGUCAUCUUUUGACCCAAUGAUUUUUGACAGUUUGAGACUUGAUUUGAAAGAAGUGUUUUUAUCCUAUUGAGGACCACCCAUUUAAAAUGAAGGAUAUACAGUGACCUCUGUAGUUAUUGGGAUGUUGAAGCAUUUCUUUCUUAUUUUGGCUCUGCACUCCACAAGUUUGAUUUUAAAUCAAACAAUUAUGAGGUCAAAGCAUUGGUUCUCUGCUUUUAUUUGAGGGUAUUUGUGUGCAUAUUGGUUCCACCAUUUAGAAAUGACAACACUCUUUAUGCAUAGUCACCCCUAUUUCAAGGGACCAAAUGUAUUGGGACAAAUUCACCUAUGUGUAUUAAGGUAGUGAAAAGUGAAACAUUUGGUCCCAUAUUCAUAGCACGCGAUGGUUACAUCAGCAAUGUGACUCUACAAACUUGUUGGAUGCAUUUGCUGUUUGUUUUGGUUGUUUUCAGAUUCAUUUGUGCCCAAUAGAAAUGAAUGGUAAAUGUGUUUUUAUUUGGAAUCACUGUUAUUGUAAAUGGGAAUAUAAGAAUUGUGUUUCUAAACAGUUCUACAUUAAUGUGAAUGCUACCAAUAUUACAGAUAAUCCUGAAUGAGUCAUGAAUAAUGAUGAGUGAGGUCAUACCCCCAAGACAUGCUCACCAAUACAAUAACAGGAGGUAUGAUAUUUGUGCGUUUUUUAACUUUCUCACUCAUCAUUAUUCACAAUUCAUUCAGAAUGAUCUGUAUUCAUGGUAGCAUCCACAUUCAUGAAGUGUUUGUAAACAUUCUUAUUAACAAUGAAAAGUGAUUCUAAAAUGGCCCAACACAUUUACCAUGAAUUUCUUUUGGGCACAAAGUAAUUUGAAACACAACGAAAACAAACAGCAAAUGCAUCCAACUAAUUUGUUUAGUCACAAGCUUGAUGUAGCCAUUGUGUGCUAUAUUCACUUUUUUUUAAUAUUUCACUUUUUACUACUUUAAUAUUCACUUUUUUUAUAUUUCACUUUUUACUACUUUAAUACACACACACAAGUGAAUUUGUCCCAAUACUUUUGGGACGAUGUAUAAAAAGUGUAGUCAUUUGUAAAUGGUGAAACCAAUAUGUACACAAAUGCCCUCAAAUAAAAUCGGAGAAUGUAUAGUUUAACCUCGUAGUAAUUGUUCGAUUUCAAAUCCAAACUUUUGGAGUAUAGAGCCAUAAGAACAAAAAAAUUAUUCACUGUUCCAAUAAUGAGAGGGCACUAUCUCUUCUUGGUCCUCUGAGUAGAUUAUCUUUGUGGAUUGUCUAUUUGACACAACCAGGUUUUCAAUGGAGGAGCUCAAUUCUUCCCCUGUCAGUCAGGUUGAAUGGAUUAAUUGUUUUGUAAGUGUUUUCCAACUGCUUCGGUUGGUCAAACAAAUGAAUAUUAACUUUGGGAGAUGAGACCCUCUACUUUGAGUGGAAUAUAUAUAUAUAUAUAUAUAUAUAUAUAUAUAUAUGGUAGUUUUGAUCAGUUGAUAUAUUAGUUAAUGCAACUGGAGGAAUAUCUAAAAUGUCACUGAAGUAUUUUAUGAAUACUGUGGAUUUUGACUUCAAUCUUUCAACUCCAUCAGUGCGGGAUAAGAAUGCCCUCCAUAAACUGGUAUGCAGUGAACUGUUAAUAUGUAGCGAUCUCAAAAUUAUUAUUCUCUUGAGUUAUAUUUGGGUGUUUCAUUUUUUUAAAGUUGUCAUUGUAAUUGUUGGUCACCUGUUCUGUCAGUGGGUCUGUUCUGUCUUUCUGUUAAUCAUUGAAGAUCAAAGUGAUUGCUGUUUUGGCACUGUGAUGCCCCUGGGUGAGAUUGCCAUGCCUUAGAUGUAAGAAUGAAUUCCAUAAAAAUGUAUGAUUCAUUAACAAACCGAUUUUGAUCAAAUUAUAUCCAUUUUCUUUUUCACCCAAAUGGUCGGCUCAGUUCCAUCGCUUAAACGUUUUGAAUAUUUUAGAGAUGAGUAACAUAAAAACAAAUGCAUUCAGAAAAAUAACCUAAAAAGUGUAAAUAGUUUGGGUUUUGUUGGUUUGACGAGAACAAAAAAUUAUUAAAUAAAAUGCAUUUAACAAUG